AGUGGCGGACUGGUGAGUAACACGUGGGUGACCUACCCUGGAGUUGGGGAUAACCAUUAGAAAUAGUGGAUAAUACCGAAUACGAUUGCUGUCGCUUUGGCGAUGCAAGGAAAGGAGCUACGGCUCCGCUCUAGGAUGGGCCCGCGUCCCAUUAGCUAGUUGGUGAGGUAAAGGCUCACCAAGGCGACGAUGGGUAUCCGGCCUGAGAGGGUGUACGGACACAUUGGGACUGAGAUACGGCCCAAACUCC
This 250-nucleotide ribosomal RNA is filed under the name uncultured bacterium. RNAcentral's name for it is "partial 16S ribosomal RNA". It matches the Rfam family "Bacterial small subunit ribosomal RNA", at positions 94 to 339 of the family's 1533-position model. The record is from RNAcentral.